GUCGAGAAUCAUUGGCAAUGGGCGAAAGCCUGACCAUGCGACGCCGCGUGCGGGAUGACGGCCUUCGGGUUGUAAACCGCUGUCGCGAGGAACGAAGACUGAUUGGGCGAACAACCUGAUCAGUUUGACGGUACCUCGAGAGGAAGCCACGGCUAACUCCGUGCCAGCAGCCGCGGUAAGACGGAGGUGGCGAGCGUUGCUCGGAUUCACUGGGUGUAAAGGGCAAGUAGGCGGCCUGAUAAGUCGGGUGUGAAAUCCCACGGCUCAACCGUGGAACUGCGUCCGAAACUGCCAGGCUAGAGGACAGUAGAGGCGAAUGGAAUUCCCGGUGUAAGGGUGAAAUCUGUAGAUAUCGGGAGGAACACCAGUGGCGAAGGCGAUUCGCUGGGCUGUCCCUGACGCUGAGAGGCGAAAGCUAGGGGAGCAAACAGG
RNAcentral lists this ribosomal RNA (432 nucleotides) under uncultured bacterium. RNAcentral describes it as "bacterial SSU rRNA". It matches the Rfam family "Bacterial small subunit ribosomal RNA", at positions 354 to 776 of the family's 1533-position model. The record is from RNAcentral.